GCAGUCGAGCGGAAGGCCCUUUCGGGGGUACUCGAGCGGCGAACGGGUGAGUAACACGUGAGUAAUCUGCCCUUGGCUUUGGGAUAACCACCGGAAACGGUGGCUAAUACCGGAUAUGACCACUCCCGGCAUCGGGUGGUGGUGGAAAGUUUUUUCGGCCAGGGAUGUGCUCGCGGCCUAUCAGCUUGUUGGUGGGGUAAUGGCCUACCAAGGCUUCGACGGGUAGCCGGCCUGAGAGGGUGACCGGCCACACUGGGACUGAGACACGGCCCAGACUCCUACGGGAGGCAGCAGUGGGGAAUAUUGGACAAUGGGCGGAAGCCUGAUCCAGCAACGCCGCGUGAGGGAUGACGGCCUUCGGGUUGUAAACCUCUUUCAGUACCGACGAAGCGCCGAUGAUGGUGGUGACGGUAGGUACAGAAGAAGCACCGGCCAACUACGUGCCAGCAGCCGCGGUAAUACGUAGGGUGCGAGCGUUGUCCGGAAUUAUUGGGCGUAAAGGGCUCGUAGGCGGUUUGUCGCGUCGGGAGUGAAAACACCGGGCUUAACUCGGUGCUUGCUUUCGAUACGGGCAGACUAGAGGCAUGCAGGGGAGAACGGAAUUCCUGGUGUAGCGGUGAAAUGCGCAGAUAUCAGGAGGAACACCGGUGGCGAAGGCGGUUCUCUGGGCAUGUCCUGACGCUGAGGAGCGAAAGUGUGGGGAGCGAACAGGAUUAGAUACCCUGGUAGUCCACACCGUAAACGUUGG
This 748-nucleotide ribosomal RNA is filed under the name Nocardioides sp. R78-1(2010). RNAcentral's name for it is "bacterial SSU rRNA". It matches the Rfam family "Bacterial small subunit ribosomal RNA", at positions 57 to 812 of the family's 1533-position model. Lineage: Bacteria; Bacillati; Actinomycetota; Actinomycetes; Propionibacteriales; Nocardioidaceae. The record is from RNAcentral.